UACGUAGGGGGCAAGCGUUGUCCGGAAUCAUUGGGCGUAAAGCGCGUGUAGGCGGCCCGAUAAGUCCGCUGUGAAAGUCCAGGGCUCAACCCUGGGAUGCCGGUGGAUACUGUCGGGCUCGAGUCCGGAAGAGGCGAGUGGAAUUCCUGGUGUAGCGGUGAAAUUCGUAGAUAUUAGGAAGAACACCGGUGGCGAAGGCGGGUCUCUGGGCCGAUACUGACGCUGAGGAGCGAAAGCGUGGGGAGCGAACAGG
Molecule: ribosomal RNA, 253 nt
Filed under: uncultured bacterium
Lineage: Bacteria
Description: partial 16S ribosomal RNA
Rfam family: Bacterial small subunit ribosomal RNA
Source: RNAcentral